AUUGAACGCUGGCGGAAUGCUUUACACAUGCAAGUCGAACGGUAACGCGGGGCAACCUGGCGACGAGUGGCGAACGGGUGAGUAAAGCAUCGGAACGUGCCCAGUAGUGGGGGAUAGCCCGGCGAAAGCCGGAUUAAUACCGCAUACGACCUACGGGUGAAAGGGGGGGAUCGCAAGACCUCUCGCUAUUGGAGCGGCCGAUGUCAGAUUAGGUAGUUGGUGGGGUAAAGGCCUACCAAGCCUGCGAUCUGUAGCUGGUCUGAGAGGACGACCAGCCACACUGGGACUGAGACACGGCCCAGACUCCUACGGGAGGCAGCAGUGGGGAAUUUUGGACAAUGGGCGCAAGCCUGAUCCAGCCAUGCCGCGUGCGGGAAGAAGGCCUUCGGGUUGUAAACCGCUUUUGUCAGGGAAGAAAAGCCUUGGGUUAAUACCCUGGGGUGAUGACGGUACCUGAAGAAUAAGCACCGGCUAACUACGUGCCAGCCGCCGCAGUAA
Molecule: ribosomal RNA, 498 nt
Filed under: uncultured bacterium
Lineage: Bacteria
Description: partial 16S ribosomal RNA
Rfam family: Bacterial small subunit ribosomal RNA
Source: RNAcentral